GUUCGCCACAAACCGGCCAAUCAGCAGCAGACCCUCCCUCCCAGACCUUUCCACCUCCUGGACAGCAUCCAUUUUGAAGCCGCAUUCUUAGUGAGCUGUCCAGGAGGUGGGAGGGUCUGGGAGGGAGGGUCUGCUGCUGAUUGGCUGGAAUGUGUCUG
This 158-nucleotide microRNA precursor is filed under the name Pelobates cultripes (western spadefoot toad). The record is from RNAcentral. Lineage: Eukaryota; Metazoa; Chordata; Amphibia; Anura; Pelobatidae.